RNAcentral lists this ribosomal RNA (253 nucleotides) under uncultured bacterium. Its description in RNAcentral is "partial 16S ribosomal RNA". It matches the Rfam family "Bacterial small subunit ribosomal RNA", at positions 524 to 776 of the family's 1533-position model. The record is from RNAcentral.
UACGGGGGGGGCAAGCGUUGUUCGGAAUUACUGGGCGUAAAGGGCUCGUAGGUGGCCAACUAAGUCAGACGUGAAAUCCCCAGGCUCAACUUGGGAACUGCGUCUGAUACUGGAUGGCUUGAAUUCGGGAGAGGGAUGCAGAAUUCCAGGUGUAGCGGUGAAAUGCGUAGAUAUCUGGAGGAAUACCGGUGGCGAAGGCGGCAUCCUGGACCGAUAUUGAGACUGAUGAGCGAAAGCUAGGGGAGCAAACGGG